AGAAGUAAUUGUGGUUUUGGUC
This 22-nucleotide microRNA is filed under the name Macaca fascicularis (crab-eating macaque). Its description in RNAcentral is "novel_miR97-5p". The record is from RNAcentral. Lineage: Eukaryota; Metazoa; Chordata; Mammalia; Primates; Cercopithecidae.